Molecule: ribosomal RNA, 497 nt
Filed under: uncultured bacterium
Lineage: Bacteria
Description: partial 16S ribosomal RNA
Rfam family: Bacterial small subunit ribosomal RNA
Source: RNAcentral
GAUGAACGCUGGCGGCGUGCCUAAUACAUGCAAGUCGAGCGAACGGACGAGAAGCUUGCGUCUCUGAUGUUAGCGGCGGACGGGUGAGUAACGCGUGUAUCACCUACUUAUAAGACUGGGAUAACUUCGGGAAACCGUAUCUAAUACCGGAGAAUAUCUUGAACCGCAUGGUUCAAAAGUGAAAGACGGUGUUGGUGUCUCUUAUAGAUGGAUCCGCGCUGCAUUAGGUAGUUGUGAAGGUAAAGGCUUACCAAGGCAAGCAGGCAUAGCCGACCGGAGAGGGGGAUAGCCCACACGGGAACUGAGACACGGUCCAGACUCCUACGGGACGCAGCAGUCGGGAAUCUUACGCAAUGGGCGAAAGCCUGACGGAGCAACGCCGCGUGAGUGAUGAAGGUCUUCGGAUCGUAAUACUCUGUUAUUAGGGAAGAACAUAUGUGUAAGUAAAUGUGCACAUCUUGACGGUACCUAAUCAGGAAGCCACGGCUAACUACGUG